UACGGGGGGGGCAAGCGUUGUUCGGAAUUACUGGGCGUAAAGGGCUCGUAGGCGGCCAACUAAGUCAGAUGUGAAAUCCCCAGGCUCAACCUGGGAACUGCAUCCGAUACUGGAUGGCUUGAAUUCGGGAGAGGGAUGCAGAAUUCCAGGUGUAGCGGUGAAAUGCGUAGAUAUCUGGAGGAAUACCGGUGGCGAAGGCGGCAUCCUGGACCGACAUUGACGCUGAGGAGCGAAAGCCAGGGGAGCAAACAGG
RNAcentral lists this ribosomal RNA (253 nucleotides) under uncultured bacterium. Its description in RNAcentral is "partial 16S ribosomal RNA". It matches the Rfam family "Bacterial small subunit ribosomal RNA", at positions 524 to 776 of the family's 1533-position model. The record is from RNAcentral.